Vicia faba (fava bean) is the source of this 234-nucleotide non-coding RNA. The record is from the annotation of a GenBank genome assembly. Lineage: Eukaryota; Viridiplantae; Streptophyta; Magnoliopsida; Fabales; Fabaceae.
AUGAGGCAGAGGGAGGAAUUUGAGAGUUGUGGAAGAUUGAUGGAGAUUACAAAUUUAAAGAAUGCAGUCUGUGAGCUUUUGUGUCUAUUGUUGGCCAGUUCUUGGUUGGUAUAUGGAGUUGAGUGUAAGGUUUAUGUGUUAGGGCAGUGUAAUGGGAAGGCAAAAGGAGGAUCGGAUGGUAUGGAGGUUAUUGAAAAAAGGUUCAGUGUUGAGGAGGGAGUGGGGAUAUUUUGA